This 352-nucleotide ribosomal RNA is filed under the name uncultured soil crust cyanobacterium. RNAcentral's name for it is "bacterial SSU rRNA". It matches the Rfam family "Bacterial small subunit ribosomal RNA", at positions 415 to 765 of the family's 1533-position model. The record is from RNAcentral. Lineage: Bacteria; Bacillati; Cyanobacteriota.
CGGCCGCGUCGACGUUGUAAGUCAAGAACGGGUGUGAGAGUGGAAAGUUCACACUGUGACGGUAGCUUACCAGAAAGGGACGGCUAACUACGUGCCAGCAGCCGCGGUAAUACGUAGGUCCCGAGCGUUAUCCGGAAUGAUUGGGCGUAAAGCGUCCGCAGGUGGCAGUUCAAGUCUGCUGUCAAAGACCGGGGCUUAACUUCGGAAAGGCAGUGGAAACUGAGCAGCUAGAGUAUGGUAGGGGCAGAGGGAAUUCCUGGUGUAGCGGUGAAAUGCGUAGAGAUCAGGAAGAACAUCGGUGGCGAAGGCGCUCUGCUGGACCAUAACUGACACUCAGGGACGAAAGCUAGGG